AAGCAGAAGGAAUCUCAUUUUCAACAGCUACAUCACAAACCCAUGGAAGAAAAGGAUUGUUUAUGAUACAAGAAAUCGGUGUAUUUGACUCAUUCUUGAUCAUUUGAGAAAGAAACUGUUUCCCAACAAGCUCGAGGUGUGGUAAGUAGGUAGUUUGACUUGUUCUAAUGGGAUCAUCAUCUGAUAAACCGUCAUCAAAGAACUGAAAUGUGAGAGAACCAUUACCAACUGGAAUGACUAAUUUUUCAGUGAUAUUGUUAACAGUUCUCAAUUCUUUGCCAGCUUUCUCUGUUGUGAUGAAGAUAACAGAAGAACCCUUUGAUGCAAGACACUUUCCUAGUCUAAGCAUAGGAUUUAUGUGUCCUUGUGCUGGAUAUGAUACAAGGAGAAUUUUAAGGGGAGCUUUGGUAUAUUCCAUUUUCAUUUUCUUCCCUGCUUCUCUUCUUCAAAGUCAAGGAUAUAUAAUAGAAUAGACAGUUCUUAUUAUUAGCAAGAUUAGAUGCUUUUUCUAUUUUAUUAUUAAGAUAGUAAUAAUCAUCGUGUCACACAUGGGAAUAAAAAAAUAGUUGUAUGGUUCAACACUCCGUUUCUUACUAGUAUUUUGGUACAAAACAUAAUAAUCAUCUUGAAUCUGAAAAGGAACAGGGUAAGUGUUGGGUAUGCAGUAGGACCUACUAAUUAAUUAGAAAAAUAAAAAGAAAGAAAUAAAACAAAUAAAAAUGUGUGUGAGCAUUAACAAAGGAGCACCCAUAAGAGCUAGGCCGGGGUGAGGCAUACUUUUAAAAAUCGGACCGAUGAUCGAUUCGGUAAGGGUAUUGAGUCAUUGGAUCAUUGGUUGUACCAUUAUGUCACUGGUCGAACCGUAUGGCUCGGUUAUAUGACUCGAUUUAUAUAAAAAAAUUAUUUAUGUUAAAUUAGACUAAACCGAAUGACUUUGAACUCAAAAAAAUUAAUUUAUUUUUUACACUUAAUAGAAGCACAUUUUUACGACAUAAAUAAAAACAACUUUGAUAGAAUUUUUUUUUUAAGGGAAAACAACUGGAUAGAUAUCCCUUGAAUUUAUAUGCAUAUAUUUUUUAUGGAUAUAAUACAUGUUCAAAUAAGUAUUUAAAAAAGCAAAAGUGUGCUAAAAAAUAGUAGUAAUCAAGUAAAAAAUGUUUAUUAUAAUAUCUGAGAUGCCCGUAGAUAAUAUGUAAAUGAUAAGAGUGUACUCGAUUCUUUAAAAAAAAAUAAAAAAUAGAGUGUGCUUGGUUAAAAAAAAAAAUGUUCAGUUAUUAAAUAUAAAUUAUAUCGAAAACAAAAGAGGUUCAUGUUGCAGUGGAUAAGUGAUUGCGUUGCAAUAUAGGGGACGCGGGUUCAACACUCGGCGUUGACCGAUUGCUCUACACAUCUUUUAAAUAAGUAAACUCAUUACUUAUGUGGGUGAACACGUAAAAUGUGUUUUGUAAAUUUUGAAUUGAAAUUUUUAUUUUAAUUAAAAGGUAUAUUAAUAAUUUUGGGAUAUAACUUGGAUUAUUUCGGGUGUGGGUAGUAAGUAUAUGUCAAUCUUAUUCAUAAUGUAAUAAAAACAGAACUUUAACUUCUCUAUAGUUAUUGAGGUAGACAAAAUUGACCAAAUUAUGUUAAGAUUAAGGUUUAAUUGCAGUUUUGACCCCCUAUGUUUUAAGAAGUUGCGAUUUUGAUCCCUAACUAAAUAAACUACAAAACCGCCCUUUAAGUAUUAACUUUUUUUUGCAGUUUUGGUCCCGUGUCAAUUUUGACCAAGUCUAACGGAUACUAUAUUGUUUCUAUUUUAUGAAUAAUAUAAUAAUCACAUCUUGCUCGCAUGAGAAUUAAAAAUUGUUGUGUUAUUCAGCACUCAAUAGUCAAUACUUUUUCAUGAUAGUUUUUUUUUUUUUUUUUUUUUUACGAAACAUAUCCUGUGAAAUCUGAGAAGGAACGAGACAAGAAACAGGGUCGUGUAAUCAUACAUGUUCCUUUUUGCAUGGUUUCUUUGGGAAAAUUAGUAGACCUUGCAUUCUUUAUAUUGAGAUUUUGGGUUUAUACCAUGGUUUGAAGUUGUGUUGGGAUACUCGAAUUUAAGCAUGUGGUGUGUCUCUCUGAUUCAACUAUUGUUGUUGACCUCAUCCAAAAGGAUUUGAAUUUUCAUCACAAAUAUGGGAAUUUAGUCAUGACUAUUAAACACAUUAUUCGUAGAGAUUGUGUGGUUAGUUUAUGACAUACUUUACAUGAGGGUAACACUGCAGCUAAUUUUCUAGCUAAGAAGGGGGCUCUUAGUGAUAGUAGCUUUGUUAUUUUGAAUCAAGCCCCUCCUGAUAUGACAUCUAUCGUCUUGAUGGGUGUUGAGUUUGUUCGACCCUAGUAUGAGUCUUUUUUAGUUUUUUUUUCCUUCCCUUUUGUUACCAAAAAAAUUAAGAAAUAGUAUACAAACAAAGACAACUUUUGGGUACCAAAUAAAAAAAUAGUCGUUAUUCAAGAACUUUUAGAUAAGAAGAAGCAUAUCUCUUCUAACUUAAUCAAUGUCGUGGGUUUGAAUUCAGUAUUGAGCAUGUAACAGCGUUAAAACUCUUUAGAAGAAUAUGUCCUCUAUUUAGAUCCGCAGUUACAUGUAGAAGAUACCUAGUUAACACCAAUAAAAAAAGACAACUUUUGUUUGUUGGCACAUAAAAUUGAAGACUACAUAAAUAUUUGAUUCUUUCAAACUGUAAAGUGAGAUAAUUUACUCUUUUAAAUUUGUAAAACAAUAGCAGUUUAGUCUUUUAAUUAAAAUUUCAGUUUUUAUUUUUGUUGAUAGAAGUUAAGGCUGACAGGUAUAAAUCAGAAGCUGAUAGUGCAGUAACAAAUCCUUAUUCAAUAGAAGCAUGCAUGGAAUUGCUUGACUCCAUGGAAGACGUUCCAAGUAAGUUUUACAAUAAUGCGUUGGUGAAGUUUAAAGAUAAGGAUUGGAGACUUAUGUUUAUUAACGCGUCAUGUCAUAGUUUCUAACGAUAACGUUAACAUAUGGACUAUUUUGACCGAAUUUUCACAAUUUAAGGGAUGUAUUUACCAAUAUAGAAAAUUCAGAAAUUACUUUUAUAUCUUUGGUUUUCGCACACGUAAAUUUAUUUUGAACAUCGGUUUUUUGGGCAUGUAUUUCGUACACCAUGGACAAGGCACAUAAUCAAGACAACUUAUUACAUCUUUUGAAUCGUGUCUUAAUGUCUUCCAUAAAUGCAUCAAUAUGCCGAUCAGAGGAACCACCUACCGCAACUGCAGCCUCCGCUGCCUUCUUCCACUUGAUUGUGUUUUGCUUCAACAUCUCUGCUUUUGGCCCUGCCAUUGCUUCCAAUAAGCAUUUCUUCACCUCAUCUCUACAUACCAAUCUAUUUUCCGCCUGACUAUAACCCAAUCUGACCCCUACCUCAAAAACAUCUACCAAGAACUUUGCAUUUGUAACUUGAUCACCCCAUGCUGGAAAUGUUAACAUCGGCACUCCUAAAGUAAGUGCCUCCAUCGACGAGUUCCAACCACAAUGUGUCAUGAAACAUGCCACUGAAGGAUGAGCUAGUACUUGUUCUUGUGGACACCACUUCGCAACUUUUCCUUUCCCACUAGUUUCCUCCAAGAACCCAUCAGGCAAACAAUGUGGUUUGAACCCCACAUGUUUAGCAUUAAGAGAUGGUUUUACUUUUAGUAUCCACAAAAAGGAGACUUGAGAAUCCAAUAAUCCAUAGGCAAUUUCAUUCACUUGUUCUUGAGGAAGGUGCACAAUAGUCCCAAAUGAGAUGUAUACCACAGAUGAUUGUGGCCUUGAGUUUAACCACUCUAUAAUACAAUCAUCAUCACUCUUAACUAAAUCACCACAGAUAUUACUUGCAGUUUUUGUUUUUGGGUUUUGAAAUAAAGGACCAAUGGGUCUUAUUAAGACAGAAUAUUUUGAAAUAUAAUUUAUGAAAUCAUGUUCCAAUUCCUCAUAGGUAUCCACCAAUACACAAAACACUUUAGACAAGUUCUUAAUCUGUUCCAAUAAGAGUGACCCAAGAAAUGGAUACUUACUAAAACAAUGAAGGAAAUCUGGUAUUUCAUUGUAUUUAAGGACUAGAGAAGACAAUUGAACAUCAAUAUAAGGUUCUGCAUUCGAAGGGAAACGUACCAGUUUGUGAAAAUAGUUAUAGUAAGCUGCGAAAACAGCACCGGAUUGAAUCCAUAAUAAAGCAGAAGGAAUCUCGAGUUCAGCAGCUACAUCACUAACCCAUGGAAGAAAAGGAUUGUUUAUGAUACAAGAAAUCAGUGUAUUUGACUCAUCAGCAGCAUGAUUCUUGAUCAUUUGAGAAAGAAACUUUUUCCCAACGAGCUCGAGGUGUGGUAAGUAGGUAGUAAGGCUUGCUCUAAUGGGAUCAUCAUCUGAUAAACCGUCUUCAAAGAACUCGAAUGCGAGAGAACCAUUACCAACUGGAAUGACUGAUUUAUCAAUGAUGUUGUUAACAGUUCUCAACUCUCUGCCAGCUUUCUCAGUUGUGAUGAAGAUAAC
RNAcentral lists this long non-coding RNA (4510 nucleotides) under Medicago truncatula (barrel medic). RNAcentral's name for it is "long non-coding RNA (MTRU_LNC006345)". Lineage: Eukaryota; Viridiplantae; Streptophyta; Magnoliopsida; Fabales; Fabaceae. The record is from RNAcentral.